This 419-nucleotide ribosomal RNA is filed under the name Shigella sonnei. RNAcentral describes it as "partial 23S ribosomal RNA". It matches the Rfam family "Bacterial large subunit ribosomal RNA", at positions 1 to 450 of the family's 2925-position model. Lineage: Bacteria; Pseudomonadati; Pseudomonadota; Gammaproteobacteria; Enterobacterales; Enterobacteriaceae. The record is from RNAcentral.
GGGUUGUGAGGUUAAGCGACUAAGCGUACACGGUGGAUGCCCUGGCAGUCAGAGGCGAUGAAGGACGUGCUAAUCUGCGAUAAGCGUCGGUAAGGUGAUAUGAACCGUUAUAACCGGCGAUUUCCGAAUGGGGAAACCCAGUGUGAUUCGUCACACUAUCAUUAACUGAAUCCAUAGGUUAAUGAGGCGAACCGGGGGAACUGAAACAUCUAAGUACCCCGAGGAAAAGAAAUCAACCGAGAUUCCCCCAGUAGCGGCGAGCGAACGGGGAGCAGCCCAGAGCCUGAAUCAGUGUGUGUGUUAGUGGAAGCGUCUGGAAAGGCGCGCGAUACAGGGUGACAGCCCCGUACACAAAAAUGCACAUAUUGUGAGCUCGAUGAGUAGGGCGGGACACGUGGUAUCCUGUCUGAAUAUGGGGG